GUUGUUGUAUAAAGCGAGUGUUGCUGCUCCAAGGUGAAAUAGUGAAUCGUCGGUCACCGCUGAGCACGUGCCUUUGGAUACAGUGGAAAGUGUUUGUUACUGCUUGUGGAAAAGGCACUGUAGCCUUAUUAUUUUGCUUGUAUUGUUUUCAUUCUCGGUCCGAUUUCUAGAAUACACUAAACAUUAAGUGAACGAAUCCUAAUUGCAGUGAUCGGAAAAAAAGACUAGAUUUUAAAACUUACUGAUAAUAAGUGAACACGGUGAAUAAUACAGCGAGAAAUAUCGAAUAUUGACAGCGAAGGACAACACAACAAAAAACACUGGAGAGAGGAGAUCGCUUGGUGACGAAGGGCUCUUCCAAGGCAGAUGAUUCAAAGUUCAUCUCUGAAAAGGUAUGU
Molecule: long non-coding RNA, 398 nt
Organism: Penaeus monodon (black tiger shrimp)
Lineage: Eukaryota; Metazoa; Arthropoda; Malacostraca; Decapoda; Penaeidae
Exons: 3
Source: RefSeq, a predicted model, not a curated record